RNAcentral lists this ribosomal RNA (930 nucleotides) under Carausius nodosus. RNAcentral describes it as "SSU rRNA". It matches the Rfam family "Eukaryotic small subunit ribosomal RNA", at positions 421 to 1290 of the family's 1831-position model. The record is from RNAcentral. Lineage: Eukaryota; Metazoa; Arthropoda; Insecta; Phasmatodea; Lonchodidae.
AGAAGCAGCAGGCGCGCAAAUUACCCACUCCCGGCACGGGGAGGUAGUGACGAAAAAUAACGAUACGGGACUCAUCCGAGGCCCCGUAAUCGGAAUGAGAACACUUUAAACCCUUUAACGAGUAUCCAUUGGAGGGCAAGUCUGGUGCCAGCAGCCGCGGUAAUUCCAGCUCCAAUAGCGUAUAUUAAAGUUGUUGCGGUUAAAAAGCUCGUAGUUGGACUUGUGUCCCACGCNGUCGGUUCACCGUUNGUCGGUGUUUAACUGGCAUGCCCGUGUGGACGUCCUGCCGGUGGAUGCGGUCGGCCGUGGGCCUCUGGUCUGCGUGUCGGCGGUCCGAUGCAAUCCUACCGCGGUGCUCUUCACCGAGUGUCGAGGUGGGCCGGCACGUUUACUUUGAACAAAUUAGAGUGCUUAAAGCAGGCAGUGGUUCGCCUGAAUAUUGUGUGCAUGGAAUAAUGGAAUAGGACCUCGGUUCUAUUUUGUUGGUUUCCGGAACUUGAGGUAAUGAUUAAUAGGGACAAACGGGGGCAUUCGUAUUGCGACGUUAGAGGUGAAAUUCUUGGAUCGUCGCAAGACGAACCUAAGCGAAAGCAUUUGCCAUGAGUGUUUUCAUUAAUCAAGAACGAAAGUUAGAGGUUCGAAGGCGAUCAGAUACCGCCCUAGUUCUAACCAUAAACGAUGCCAGCUAGCGAUCCGCCGAAGUUCCUCCGAUGACUCGGCGGGCAGCUUCCGGGAAACCAAAGCUUUUGGGUUCCGGGGGAAGUAUGGUUGCAAAGCUGAAACUUAAAGGAAUUGACGGAAGGGCACCACCAGGAGUGGAGCCUGCGGCUUAAUUUGACUCAACACGGGAAACCUCACCAGGCCCGGACACCGGAAGGAUUGACAGAUUGAGAGCUCUUUCUUGAUUCGGUGGGUGGUGGUGCAUGGCCC